Molecule: small nuclear RNA, 107 nt
Filed under: Trichobilharzia regenti
Lineage: Eukaryota; Metazoa; Platyhelminthes; Trematoda; Strigeidida; Schistosomatidae
Source: RNAcentral
GUAAUCGCUUCGGCGGUACAUAUACUAAAAAUGGAACGAUAUGAAGAAGAUUAGCAGAGGCCCUGCACAAGGAUGACAAGCAAAAUCGUGAAGUGUUCCAUAUUUUA